Molecule: ribosomal RNA, 429 nt
Filed under: Gemmatimonadota bacterium
Lineage: Bacteria; Pseudomonadati; Gemmatimonadota
Description: Gemmatimonadetes bacterium partial 16S ribosomal RNA
Rfam family: Bacterial small subunit ribosomal RNA
Source: RNAcentral
UAGGGAAUCUUCGGCAAUGGACGAAAGUCUGACCGAGCAACGCCGCGUGAGUGAAGAAGGUUUUCGGAUCGGAAAACUCUGUCGUUAGAGAAGAACAAGGACGUUAGUAACUGAACGUCACCUGACGGUAUCUAACCAGAAAGCCACGGCGAACUACGUGCCAGCAGCCGCGGUAAUACGUAGGUGGCAAGCGUUGUCCGGAUUUAUUGGGCGUAAAGCGAGCGCAGGCGGUUUCUUAAGUCUGAUGUGAAAGCCCCCGGCCCAACCGGGGAGGGUCAGUGGAAACUGGGAGACUUGAGUGCAGAAGAGGAGAGUGGAAUUCCGUGUGUAGCGGUGAAAUGCGAAAAUGUAUGGAGGAAGACGAGGGGGGAAGGCGGCUCUCUGGUCUGUAACUGACGCUGAGGCUCGAAAGCGGGGGGAGCAAACAGG